Molecule: transfer RNA, 71 nt
Filed under: Candidatus Berkelbacteria bacterium
Lineage: Bacteria; Candidatus Berkelbacteria
Description: tRNA-Met
Rfam family: tRNA
About the family: Transfer RNA (tRNA) molecules are approximately 80 nucleotides in length. Their secondary structure includes four short double-helical elements and three loops (D, anti-codon, and T loops).
Source: RNAcentral
CGCGGGGUGGUGGAGUAGUACCAUACGAGGCCCAUAACCUUGAGACCCAGGUGCAAUUCCUGGCUCCGCAA